AUGGCCUGGACUCUGCUUCUCCUCAUCCUCCUCGCUCAGGACACAGGAUCCUGGGCUCAGUCUGCCCUGACUCAGCCUCACUCAGUGUCCGGGUCUCCUGGACAGUUGGUCACCAUCUCCUGCACUGGAACCAGCAGUGACGUUGGGCGUUAUAACUGUCUCCUGGUGCCAUCUGCCCCCAGGCACAUGAUUUAUGGUGUCAGUAAGCAGCCCUCAGGGGUCUCUGAUUGCUUCUCUGGCUCCAAGUCUGGCAACACGGCCUCCAUGACCAUCUCUGGGCUCCAGGCUGAGGACGAGGCUGAUUAUUACUGCUGCUCAUAUGCAGGCAGCACCACUUUCCACAGUGGACAUAAGAUUGAUUCUCAGGCUUCAAGUCUGGCAAGGCCUUGUCACUCCCUGUCCAGCAGCAUCCUGGGGAGCUAA
Molecule: non-coding RNA, 423 nt
Organism: Piliocolobus tephrosceles (Ugandan red Colobus)
Lineage: Eukaryota; Metazoa; Chordata; Mammalia; Primates; Cercopithecidae
Source: the annotation of a RefSeq genome assembly